AGAGUUUGAUCAUGGCUCAGGAUGAACGCUGGCGGCGUGCUUAACACAUGCAAGUCGAACGGGAACCUCACGACGGAGACUUCGGUUGAAGAUGUGAGAAUUCUAGUGGCGGACGGGUGAGUAACGCGUGGGUAACCUACCCAUGAGAGGGGGAUAACAGGGAGAAAUUCUUGCUAAUACCCCAUAUGCUUACGGUAUCGCAUGAUAUUGUGAGGAAAGAAUUUUUGCUCAUGGAUGGACCCGCGUUUGAUUAGCCAGUUGGUGGGGUAACGGCCUACCAAAGCUACGAUCAAUAGCCGGCCUGAGAGGGUGAUCGGCCACAUUGGGACUGAGACACGGCCCAAACUCCUACGGGAGGCAGCAGUGGGGAAUAUUGCACAAUGGGGGAAACCCUGAUGCAGCAACGCCGCGUGAGUGAAGAAGUAUUUCGGUAUGUAAAGCUCUAUCGAUGGGAAAUAAGAUGAAGGUACCCAAAUAAGAAGCCCCGGCUAACUACGUGCCAGCAGCCGC
RNAcentral lists this ribosomal RNA (510 nucleotides) under uncultured bacterium. Its description in RNAcentral is "bacterial SSU rRNA". It matches the Rfam family "Bacterial small subunit ribosomal RNA", at positions 8 to 518 of the family's 1533-position model. The record is from RNAcentral.